CGACGGCGACGGCGCGAGCUGGAAGUCCACCGCGGAGGUCGCCAGGCCGAGGCGGCGGAGGUGGCGCCUGACGCCGUCGAGGCCUUGCUGGUCGUCGCGGACGCAGACCAGGCGGCCUCCCGUCCGCGCGGCGGCGAUGGCGAGCGCGACAGCCGUGGCCGGGGAUGACGACGACGACGACGAAGCGCCGCCCCCGCCGGCGGAGGAGGCGACGUCGAGGAGGUGGCGCGCCUGGUUGCCGGCGGCCAGCGCGGCGAUGUACUCC
Molecule: small RNA, 265 nt
Filed under: Oryza sativa Japonica Group (Japanese rice)
Lineage: Eukaryota; Viridiplantae; Streptophyta; Magnoliopsida; Poales; Poaceae
Description: sRNA Os08g0110650
Source: RNAcentral